This 1479-nucleotide long non-coding RNA is filed under the name Mus musculus (house mouse). RNAcentral's name for it is "predicted gene, 26597 (Gm26597)". Lineage: Eukaryota; Metazoa; Chordata; Mammalia; Rodentia; Muridae. The record is from RNAcentral.
GAGACCGAUUAGAACUGGGCAGAAUGGGGACUUUCCCCCCUAUAGUUAGUUACUAUUUUCAAUCACAGCUAUGCUUCUACCCGAACAGGCAACUUGGGAGAGUAGUCCUAGGAGUCCUUGAAAGUGUCACUAGGGUUUAAUCCUAAAAUAAGAAAAGUAUGGAGAGGGGAAGGGUAGCUAGUUUUUAAAUUUAUAAAUCUGUUUUGCAUAGUAUUUCCAAAGUAACUAGCCACUGAGUGAAGCGAAAAUUGGUACAGGUGGGGGUCGUUAGCAGGGAUGACCGCUCUAGCAGAGGAUGCUCGCAGUUUUCCCAUUAGUUUGCUCUGUCAGCCUACAUCUCAAAGAGGAUGUCCAAGAUUCCCAUCCACCUCCGACCCAGAAAAGCAGACGCGGUUUCAAGGUCAAUAAAUUAGAGAGGUUAAACAGACACCCAAACAAAUUAGACCGUGCACCUCAAAGGAUGUUUGGAGUUGUCACCUCCUAGUUCUGGCUUUUAGUCUCAUAGUGUCUCUAGGUAACAAUUAUUUCCCGUGCAUCAAGCUGAAUAUUGAAAGCACAGGAUAGCAGCCCUGGCUUCCCCAUGAAGGAACCCUCCUGAGCCAUUUGUCCUCUGUGUCCUAGUUCUCUCCCCAUAAUGACGUCAGUAAUAUCGCUCCAUCACAGCAGUCCUCCGCUCCUCAUUCUUUUCAUCGUUUUUCUCUUCAGGCAUGACCCCUGAGAGCAUACAAGCACACUAACAACACUGUUUCUCCUCCACUCAGUCCACAGCACUAUCAGCCUUCCCGCUAGGGGAAACUUCAAAGUGACGUCCUCCGGGCAGCCACUGUGGAAAAUGACAUGGGCUUGGUGCUUUAGGCAUUUUAAGGUCAGGUGCCCGACGCAUGGAUUCCACUUCUGGAAUUGCAACAGGAGCAUGAAGAAACAUUCCAACAUUCCUGCACACCACAGUGAGACUGUCCACUGAUCAGCGGCCAGACGGAGAAAUAUACAUAUGUAAAGCAGCACAUUUCAUCUUUAAUAGGGAGGGCAAUUCCCACACAGCUACCUCUCCAGCCUAUUCAUGGAUCUUUUUUUUUUUUUAAUCAUCUGAUAGCUUUGUGGGGCUAGAGAUGUAGCUCACCGGUAGAUUGCUAGCUUAGCUCUUGCAAGGCCCGGGGUUAUAUCAUCAGCAAGAAAAAAAGUAAAAGAAAAAGAAGAAGAAAAAGAAAAAGGGAAAGAAAAAGAAACACAGACCCAAAACCUUCCAGGUGUGGAGAGUUCACUCUCCGAGACAUGUGGUGCUCAGGCUGCUGAGAUGUGUAUCUGUGGUUAUCGGUUAUUCAUCUGGAACCAGAAGACAAAGCUUAGGUCCAGCCCAUCCCAGGACAGUUCUCAGAGGCCAGCCUUCACUUGGGAGAUCACUUCUUCAAACCAGGUUUUUGUUUGCUUAGUUUGCUUUUAGGCUUUCCCCUUUAAUAAAAUGGAAAGAGAAGACACCAA